RNAcentral lists this ribosomal RNA (1021 nucleotides) under bioreactor sludge metagenome. RNAcentral describes it as "bacterial LSU rRNA". It matches the Rfam family "Bacterial large subunit ribosomal RNA", at positions 1910 to 2925 of the family's 2925-position model. The record is from RNAcentral.
AACCGAAGCCCCGGUAAACGGCGGCCGUAACUAUAACGGUCCUAAGGUAGCGAAAUUCCUUGUCGGGUAAGUUCCGACCUGCACGAAUGGCGUAACGAUUUCCGCGCUGUCUCAACCAGUGGCUCAGCGAAAUUGAAUUCUCGGUGAAGAUGCCGAGUACCCGCGGCAAGACGGAAAGACCCCGUGAACCUUUACUACAGCUUGACAGUGACAUUCGGAAUAGCUUGUGUAGGAUAGGUGGGAGACUUUGAAGCUGGCACGCCAGUGUCGGUGGAGUCGUCCUUGAAAUACCACCCUGGUUGUUUUGGAUGUCUAACCUAGGCCCGUCAUCCGGGUCGGGGACACUGUCUGGUGGGUAGUUUGACUGGGGCGGUCGCCUCCCAAAGAGUAACGGAGGCGCGCGAAGGUUCCCUCAGCCCGAUUGGAAACCGGGCGUAGAGUGCAAUGGCAUAAGGGAGCUUGACUGCGAGACCCACAAGUCGAGCAGGUACGAAAGUAGGUCAUAGUGAUCCGGCGGUUCUGUAUGGAAGGGCCGUCGCUCAACGGAUAAAAGGUACUCCGGGGAUAACAGGCUGAUCUCCCCCAAGAGUUCACAUCGACGGGGAGGUUUGGCACCUCGAUGUCGGCUCAUCGCAUCCUGGGGCUGAAGUAGGUCCCAAGGGUUUGGCUGUUCGCCAAUUAAAGCGGUACGCGAGCUGGGUUUAAAACGUCGUGAGACAGUUUGGUCCCUAUCUACCGUGGGCGCAGGAUACUUGAGAAGAGCUGUCCUUAGUACGAGAGGACCGGGAUGGACGUACCGCUGGUGUUCCAGUUGUUCCGCCAGGAGCAGUCGCUGGGUAGCUAAGUACGGAAAGGAUAACCGCUGAAAGCAUCUAAGCGGGAAGCCUCCUUCAAGAUUAGGUAUCCCUGGGUGUAACAACCCCUGAAGGCCCGUUGUAGACCACAACGUUGAUAGGCUAGGUGUGUAAUCACAGUAAUGUGUUCAGCUUACUAGUACUAAUCGGCCGUGAGGCUUGACCAU